Molecule: ribosomal RNA, 646 nt
Filed under: uncultured Clostridium sp.
Lineage: Bacteria; Bacillati; Bacillota; Clostridia; Eubacteriales; Clostridiaceae
Description: bacterial SSU rRNA
Rfam family: Bacterial small subunit ribosomal RNA
Source: RNAcentral
UUCUUCGGAAUGAAAUUAAGUGGAUUAGUGGCGAACGGGUGAGUAACACGUGAGUAACCUGCCUUACACAAGGGGAUAGCCUUUGGAAACGAAGAAUAAUACCCUAUAAAGUCAAUUUAUCGCAUGAUGAAAUGACCAAAGAUUUAUCGGUGUAAGAUGGACUUGCGUCUGAUUAGCUAGUUGGUGAGAUAAAAGCCCACCAAGGCGACGAUCAGUAGCCGGCUUGAGAGAGUGUACGGCCACAUUGGGACUGAGACACGGCCCAAACUCCUACGGGAGGCAGCAGUGGGGAAUUUUGCACAAUGGGGGAAACCCUGAUGCAGCGACGCCGCGUGAUUUAGAAGGCCUUCGGGUUGUAAAAAUCUUUUUUAUGGGAUGAAAAUGACAGUACCAUAAGAAUAAGGUCCGGCUAAAUACGUGCCAGCAGCCGCGGUAAUACGUAUGGACCGAGCGUUGUCCGGAAUCAUUGGGCGUAAAGGGUACGUAGGCGGCCUAGUAAGUUAGAAGUGAAAUAAUAUAGCUCAACUAUAUAAAGCUUUUAAAACUGUUAGGCUUGAGAGAUGAAAGGGAAAGUGGAAUUCCUAGUGUAGCGGUGAAAUGCGCAGAUAUUAGGAAGAAUACCGGUGGCGAAGGCGACUUUCUGGUC